This 446-nucleotide ribosomal RNA is filed under the name uncultured bacterium. RNAcentral's name for it is "bacterial SSU rRNA". It matches the Rfam family "Bacterial small subunit ribosomal RNA", at positions 958 to 1398 of the family's 1533-position model. The record is from RNAcentral.
AACGCGAAGAACCUUACCUGGGCUUGACAUGCAGGAAGUAGAAACCGGAAACGGCGACGACCUGUUAAGUCAGGAACCUGCACAGGUGGUGCAUGGCUGUCGUCAGCUCGUGCCGUGAGGUGUUGGGUUAAGUCCCGCAACGAGCGCAACCCUCGUUCUAUGUUGCCAGCACGUAAUGGUGGGAACUCAUGGGAUACUGCCGGGGUCAACUCGGAGGAAGGUGGGGAUGACGUCAAAUCAUCAUGCCCCUUAUGUCUUGGGCUUCACGCAUGCUACAAUGGCCAGUACAAUGGGCUGCGAUACCGCAAGGUGGAGCGAAUCCCAAAAAGCUGGUCCCAGUUCGGAUUGAGGUCUGCAACUCGACCUCAUGAAGUCGGAGUCGCUAGUAAUCGCAGAUCAGCAACGCUGCGGUGAAUACGUUCCCGGCCUUGUACACACCGCGCAUA